UACAUUUUUAUUAUUAAUCCAUCUGGGACCAUGAUAUCUAAACGAGAGUUAACACGUUUAUAAAAUUAUAGAACCAGUCAUUUUGACUGAUGUGGUAUUUGUAAUGUUAAUAUCUAACGAUCGAUUCGGAAUUUUCCUGAUUACUGAUAUCAUCAUAUCGAAUGAUACGCAGUAAAAAUUUUAAAAACGUGUGGGAAGUUGUACAAAACGAGGAAACUGGUUAAUUGAGGUUCAAUAAACAGAUUGCAAUCAUUUUGACUGGUAUUGGUAUAGUAAG
RNAcentral lists this unclassified non-coding RNA (277 nucleotides) under Bombus terrestris (buff-tailed bumblebee). Its description in RNAcentral is "misc RNA ENSBTSG00005038048.1". Lineage: Eukaryota; Metazoa; Arthropoda; Insecta; Hymenoptera; Apidae. The record is from RNAcentral.